AGUGUUGUUUGAAGAAGUGAUGGAUGUGGUGGGAAACCUUUGCAAGUGUUCUCUAUUUGUUAGGGUUACCUUCGAAGUCAUGUUUAGCUCAUGUCGGCCCAUUACCUCAUCCUUCCAAGCUUUUGUGAUUCUUUCUAUCCACUGACUUUUGGAAACGAAAGUCCUUUUAAGUAGUGGCUAAUGUAAUGAACCUUAAUGUUAUUUUGAAUAUUUUUACUUAUCUCCAAUAUUUGAAAUUCUCCAUAGCUGCCCCCAA
Molecule: long non-coding RNA, 256 nt
Filed under: Capsicum annuum
Lineage: Eukaryota; Viridiplantae; Streptophyta; Magnoliopsida; Solanales; Solanaceae
Description: long non-coding RNA (CANN_LNC006781)
Source: RNAcentral